This 429-nucleotide long non-coding RNA is filed under the name Anolis carolinensis (green anole). RNAcentral's name for it is "lncRNA (ENSACAG00000036009.1)". Lineage: Eukaryota; Metazoa; Chordata; Lepidosauria; Squamata; Anolidae. The record is from RNAcentral.
AUGUCCUCCGAUGCUGCAAGGGGGAGAGAGCUUUUACAACAGCUGUCGCCUGCAUGGCUGCCUUUGCGGUGGGGGUCCACAUGUGGGGCAGGGAGAAGGCCUCCAGUCGUGGCUGAGAGAGAGAGAGAGAGCGGUGGCUUCGGUCGCUCCCCCCCGCUUUGGCAAUCCCUUGCACCUGUAUUCCAACAACCAGCUGUUGCGCCUGCGCAUGCGCGGGAAGGCUGGCAAGAUCCAGCCCUCCCAGCAGCGAUUGCUAGGAAUUUGAAUGAAGAGUGGUCCUCUCCCGCUGCUGCUGCCGCUGCCAUCUUCCUCCUCCUCCUCCUCCCCCUCCCCUCCUGCUGGAUCCCUGGUUGGGAUGCAAAACCUGAACUUGGAGAAGCAGCAUCUCUCGCGAAGAACCAGGUUUAUAAAGAAGUGGCUACUACCUAA